UGCAGUCGAGCGGACCGACGGGAGCUUGCUCCCUUAGGUCAGCGGCGGACGGGUGAGUAACACGUGGGUAACCUGCCUGUAAGACUGGGAUAACUCCGGGAAACCGGGGCUAAUACCGGAUGCUUGAUUGAACCGCAUGGUUCAAUCAUGAAAGGCGGCUUCGGCUGCCGUUUACAGAUGGACCCGCGGCGCAUUAGCUAGUUGGUGAGGUAACGGCUCACCAAGGCGACGAUGCGUAGCCGACCUGAGAGGGUGAUCGGCCACACUGGGACUGAGACACGGCCCAGACUCCUACGGGAGGCAGCAGUAGGGAAUCUUCCGCAAUGGACGAAAGUCUGACGGAGCAACGCCGCGUGAGUGAUGAAGGUUUUCGGAUCGUAAAGCUCUGUUGUUAGGGAAGAACAAGUACCGUUCGAAUAGGGCGGUACCUUGACGGUACCUAACCAGAAAGCCACGGCUAACUACGUGCCAGCAGCCGCGGUAAUACGUAGGUGGCAAGCGUUGUCCGGAAUUAUUGGGCGUAAAGCGCGCGCAGGCGGUUUCUUAAGUCUGAUGUGAAAGCCCCCGGCUCAACCGGGGAGGGUCAUUGGAAA
This 593-nucleotide ribosomal RNA is filed under the name Bacillus sp. CH130a_4D. RNAcentral describes it as "bacterial SSU rRNA". It matches the Rfam family "Bacterial small subunit ribosomal RNA", at positions 56 to 632 of the family's 1533-position model. Lineage: Bacteria; Bacillati; Bacillota; Bacilli; Caryophanales; Bacillaceae. The record is from RNAcentral.